RNAcentral lists this ribosomal RNA (1343 nucleotides) under uncultured bacterium. Its description in RNAcentral is "16S ribosomal RNA". It matches the Rfam family "Bacterial small subunit ribosomal RNA", at positions 28 to 1378 of the family's 1533-position model. The record is from RNAcentral.
GACGAACGCUGGCGGCGUGCUUAACACAUGCAAGUCGAACGGAAAGGCCCUGCUUUUGUGGGGUGCUCGAGUGGCGAACGGGUGAGUAACACGUGAGUAACCUGCCCUUGACUUUGGGAUAACUUCAGGAAACUGGGGCUAAUACCGGAUAGGAGCUCCUGCUGCAUGGUGGGGGUUGGAAAGUUUCGGCGGUUGGGGAUGGACUCGCGGCUUAUCAGCUUGUUGGUGGGGUAGUGGCUUACCAAGGCUUUGACGGGUAGCCGGCCUGAGAGGGUGACCGGCCACAUUGGGACUGAGAUACGGCCCAGACUCCUACGGGAGGCAGCAGUGGGGAAUAUUGCACAAUGGGCGGAAGCCUGAUGCAGCAACGCCGCGUGCGGGAUGACGGCCUUCGGGUUGUAAACCGCUUUCGCCUGUGACGAAGCGUGAGUGACGGUAAUGGGUAAAGAAGCACCGGAUAACUACGUGCCAGCAGCCGCGGUGAUACGUAGGGUGCGAGCGUUGUCCGGAUUUAUUGGGCAUAAAGGGCUCGUAGGUGGUUGAUCGCGUCGGAAGGGUAAUCUUGGGGCUUAACCCUGAGCGUGCUUUCGAUACGGGUUGACUUGAGGAAGGUAGGGGAGAAUGGAAUUCCUGGUGGAGCGGUGGAAUGCGCAGAUAUCAGGAGGAACACCAGUGGCGAAGGCGGUUCUCUGGGCCUUUCCUGACGCUGAGGAGCGAAAGCGUGGGGAGCGAACAGGCUUAGAUACCCUGGUAGUCCACGCUGUAAACGGUGGGUACUAGGUGUGGGGUCCAUUCCACGGGUUCCGUGCCGUAGCUAACGCUUUAAGUACCCCGCCUGGGGAGUACGGCCGCAAGGCUAAAACUCAAAGGAAUUGACGGGGCCCCGCACAAGCGGCGGAGCAUGCGGAUUAAUUCGAUGCAACGCGUAGAACCUUACCUGGGUUUGACAUGGAUCGGGAGUGCUCAGAGAUGGGUGUGCCUCUUUUGGGGUCGGUUCACAGGUGGUGCAUGGCUGUCGUCAGCUCGUGUCGUGAGAUGUUGGGUUAAGUCCCGCAACGAGCGCAACCCUUGUUCACUGUUGCCAGCACGUUAUGGUGGGGACUCAGUGGAGACCGCCGGGGUCAACUCGGAGGAAGGUGGGGAUGACGUCAAGUCAUCAUGCCCCUUAUGUCCAGGGCUUCACGCAUGCUACAAUGGCUGGUACAGAGAGUGGCGAGCCUGUGAGGGUGAGCGAAUCUCGGAAAGCCGGUCUCAGUUCGGAUUGGGGUCUGCAACUCGACCUCAUGAAGUCGGAGUCGCUAGUAAUCGCAGAUCAGCAACGCUGCGGUGAAUACGUUCCCGGG